Molecule: unclassified non-coding RNA, 254 nt
Filed under: Sordariomycetes sp.
Lineage: Eukaryota; Fungi; Ascomycota; Sordariomycetes
Description: partial contains 5.8S ribosomal RNA, internal transcribed spacer 2, and large subunit ribosomal RNA
Source: RNAcentral
CGCACAUUGCGCCCGCUAGUAUUCUGGCGGGCAUGCCUGUUCGAGCGUCAUUUCAACCCUCAAGCGCUGCCGCUUGGUGUUGGAGGCCAGCCGUCCCUCAGCGGGGCUGCCUCCCAAACUCAGUGGCGGUCACGCCGUAGCUUCCUUCGCGUAGUAACCAAACCUCGCCCUGGGACUCGGUGCGGCCACGCCGUAAAACCCCCAACCCAUCAAAGGUUGACCUCGAAUCAGGUAGGAAUACCCGCUGAACUUAA